AGAGUUUGAUCAUGGCUCAGAACGAACGCUGGUGGCGUGUUUUAUACAUGCAAGUCGAGCGAGGACGGUAGCAAUACCGAGCCGAGCGGCGAACGGGUGAGUAACGCGUAAGCAAUCUGCCCCACAAUCGGGAACAACCGUGCCAACGCGCGGCUAAUGCCGGAUAUUGUAGUCUACUGCAUAGUAGGCCAACGAAAGAUUUAUUGUUGUGGGAUGAGCUUGCGUCCGAUUAGCUAGUUGGCGGGGUAAUAGCCCACCAAGGCGACGAUCGGUAGCCGGCCUGAGAGGGUGAUCGGCCACAUUGGGACUGAGAUACGGCCCAGACUCCUACGGGAGGCAGCAGUAGGGAAUAUUGCGCAAUGGGGGGAACCCUGACGCAGCAACGCCACGUGUGGGAAGAAGCAUUUCGGUGUGUAAACCACUGUCGGAAAGGAAUAACGGAAGACUUCGGUCUUUAUGAAUGUACUUUUAGAGGAAGCACCGGCAAACUUCGUGCCAGCAGCCGCGGUAAUACGAGGGGUGCAAGCGUUGUUCGGAAUCACUGGGCGUAAAGGGAGCGUAGGCGGAAGUGCAAGCAAUCUGUAUAAUCCUGGGGCCCAACCCCAGUUCUGCAGAUUGGACUGUAUUUCUUGAAUAGUUCAGAGGCAAGCGGAAUUUCUGGUGUAGCGGUGGAAUGCGUAGAGAUCAGAAAGAACACCAAUGGCGAAAGCAGCUUGCUGGGGACUUAUUGACGCUGAGGCUCGAAAGUGUGGGUAGCAAACAGGAUUAGAUACCCUGGUAGUCCACACUGUAAACGAUGCAUACUGGGUGUCCGAAAUUCGUUUCGGGUACCGUAGCUAACGCGUUAAGUAUGCCGCCUGGGGAGUACGUACGCAGUAUGAAACUCAAAGGAAUUGACGG
Molecule: ribosomal RNA, 900 nt
Filed under: uncultured bacterium
Lineage: Bacteria
Description: bacterial SSU rRNA
Rfam family: Bacterial small subunit ribosomal RNA
Source: RNAcentral